RNAcentral lists this long non-coding RNA (223 nucleotides) under Physcomitrium patens. Its description in RNAcentral is "long non-coding RNA (PPAT_LNC002991)". The record is from RNAcentral. Lineage: Eukaryota; Viridiplantae; Streptophyta; Bryopsida; Funariales; Funariaceae.
UAAAUCCUUAAGAACUUCGUGAUAUUCCUUCCAUCAAACCUCCCAACUUUGUCCACUACUACUUGUAAGGCCUUAGUAGAGUUUCUAUCCUCUCCAUGCACCUGUUGCCUUUCUUCCAUAAAUUGAGCAAAUGCCCUAAAUAAAUCAUGGGCACCUACUCCUGAUAAUCCAAACCCUGGAUUUUGAUCCCCCAUUUCAACUUAUUGAAAAAUCAGUGCCUUAA